CCGACCUUAGCUCAGUUGGAAGAGCGCAAGACUGUAAUGGAUAUAAUGUCAUCUUGAUGUCGCCUGUUCGAGCCAGGCAGGUCGGA
RNAcentral lists this transfer RNA (86 nucleotides) under Asterophora parasitica. It matches the Rfam family "tRNA". From Rfam's summary of the family: Transfer RNA (tRNA) molecules are approximately 80 nucleotides in length. Their secondary structure includes four short double-helical elements and three loops (D, anti-codon, and T loops). Further hydrogen bonds mediate the characteristic L-shaped molecular structure. tRNAs have two regions of fundamental functional importance: the anti-codon, which is responsible for specific mRNA codon recognition, and the 3' end, to which the tRNAs corresponding amino acid is attached (by aminoacyl-tRNA synthetases). tRNAs cope with the degeneracy of the genetic code in two manners: having more than one tRNA (with a specific anti-codon) for a particular amino acid; and 'wobble' base-pairing, i.e. permitting non-standard base-pairing at the 3rd anti-codon position. The record is from Rfam by way of RNAcentral. Lineage: Eukaryota; Fungi; Basidiomycota; Agaricomycetes; Agaricales; Lyophyllaceae.